GACGAACGCUGGCGGCGUGCCUAAUACAUGCAAGUAGAACGCUGAAGAGAGGAGCUUGCUCUUCUUGGAUGAGUUGCGAACGGGUGAGUAACGCGUAGGUAACCUGCCUUGUAGCGGGGGAUAACUAUUGGAAACGAUAGCUAAUACCGCAUAACAAUGGAUGACACAUGUCAUUUAUUUGAAAGGGGCAAUUGCUCCACUACAAGAUGGACCUGCGUUGUAUUAGCUAGUAGGUGAGGUAAUGGCUCACCUAGGCGACGAUACAUAGCCGACCUGAGAGGGUGAUCGGCCACACUGGGACUGAGACACGGCCCAGACUCCUACGGGAGGCAGCAGGAGGGAAUCUUCGGCAAUGGGGGCAACCCUGACCGAGCAACGCCGCGUGAGUGAAGAAGGUUUUCGGAUCGUAAAGCUCUGUUGUAAGUCAAGAACGGGUGUGAGAGUGGAAAGUUCACACUGUGACGGUAGCUUACCAGAAAGGGACGGCUAACUACGUG
This 497-nucleotide ribosomal RNA is filed under the name uncultured bacterium. Its description in RNAcentral is "partial 16S ribosomal RNA". It matches the Rfam family "Bacterial small subunit ribosomal RNA", at positions 28 to 507 of the family's 1533-position model. The record is from RNAcentral.